AGAGUUUGAUCCUGGCUCAGGACGAACGCUGGCGGCGUGCUUAACACAUGCAAGUCGAGCGAGGCCCCGCCUUCGGGUGGGUGUCCUAGCGGCGAACGGGUGAGUAACACGUGGGCAACCUGCCCCCGGCUCUGGGAUAACUCCAAGAAAUUGGGGCUAAUACCGGAUAUGACCGCUGACCGCAUGGUCUGGUGGUGGAAAGAUUUAUCGGCUGGGGAUGGGCCCGCGGCCUAUCAGCUUGUUGGUGGGGUAGUGGCCUACCAAGGCGACGACGGGUAGCCGGCCUGAGAGGGUGACCGGCCACACUGGGACUGAGACACGGCCCAGACUCCUACGGGAGGCAGCAGUGGGGAAUAUUGCGCAAUGGGCGAAAGCCUGACGCAGCGACGCCGCGUGGGGGAUGACGGCCUUCGGGUUGUAAACCUCUUUCAGCAGGGACGAAGCGCAAGUGACGGUACCUGCAGAAGAAGCACCGGCCAACUACGUGCCAGCAGCCGCGGUAAUACGUAGGGUGCAAGCGUUGUCCGGAAUUAUUGGGCGUAAAGAGCUCGUAGGCGGUUUGUUGCGUCGGCUGUGAAAUCCCGAGGCUCAACCUCGGGUCUGCAGUCGAUACGAGCAAACUAGAGUGUUGCAGGGGAGACUGGAAUUCCUGGUGUAGCGGUGAAAUGCGCAGAUAUCAGGAGGAACACCGGUGGCGAAGGCGGGUCUCUGGGCAACAACUGACGCUGAGGAGCGAAAGCGUGGGGAGCGAACAGGAUUAGAUACCCUGGUAGUCCACGCCGUAAACGUUGGGCGCUAGGUGUGGGGCUCAUUCCACGAGUUCCGUGCCGCAGCUAACGCAUUAAGCGCCCCGCCUGGGGAGUACGGCCGCAAGGCUAAAACUCAAAUGAAUUGACCG
RNAcentral lists this ribosomal RNA (898 nucleotides) under uncultured bacterium. RNAcentral describes it as "bacterial SSU rRNA". It matches the Rfam family "Bacterial small subunit ribosomal RNA", at positions 8 to 916 of the family's 1533-position model. The record is from RNAcentral.